This is a small nuclear RNA of Callipepla squamata (scaled quail), 161 nucleotides long. It matches the Rfam family "U1 spliceosomal RNA". From Rfam's summary of the family: U1 is a small nuclear RNA (snRNA) component of the spliceosome (involved in pre-mRNA splicing). Its 5' end forms complementary base pairs with the 5' splice junction, thus defining the 5' donor site of an intron. Lineage: Eukaryota; Metazoa; Chordata; Aves; Galliformes; Odontophoridae. The record is from Rfam.
AUACCUUACCUGGCAGAGGAGACCCCAUGAUCAGGCAGGUGGCUUUUCAGGGCGAGGCUCAUCCCCUGCACUCCAGAUGUGUUGAUCCCUGUGAUCUCAAAUGCAGAAAACUCAAAUGCAGAACUUGUGGUAGUAGGGAACUGUGCUCAUUCUUUUUCUUC